RNAcentral lists this ribosomal RNA (339 nucleotides) under Marinobacter sp. AAO-5. RNAcentral's name for it is "bacterial SSU rRNA". It matches the Rfam family "Bacterial small subunit ribosomal RNA", at positions 356 to 687 of the family's 1533-position model. Lineage: Bacteria; Pseudomonadati; Pseudomonadota; Gammaproteobacteria; Pseudomonadales; Marinobacteraceae. The record is from RNAcentral.
GGGGAAUAUUGGACAAUNGGGGCAACCCUGAUCCAGCCAUGCCGCGUGUGUGAAGAAGGCUUUCGGGUUGUAAAGCACUUUCAGUGAGGAGGAAAACCUUACGAUUAAUACUCGUGAGGCUUGACGUUACUCACAGAAGAAGCACCGGCUAACUCCGUGCCAGCAGCCGCGGUAAUACGGAGGGUGCAAGCGUUAAUCGGAAUUACUGGGCGUAAAGCGCGCGUAGGUGGUUUGAUAAGCGAGAUGUGAAAGCCCCGGGCUUAACCUGGGAACGGCAUUUCGAACUGUCAGGCUAGAGUGUGGUAGAGGGUAGUGGAAUUUCCUGUGUAGCGGUGAAAU